RNAcentral lists this non-coding RNA (45 nucleotides) under Schistosoma mansoni. Lineage: Eukaryota; Metazoa; Platyhelminthes; Trematoda; Strigeidida; Schistosomatidae. The record is from RNAcentral.
AUCCAGAUUAUUAGUCCCAAAUAAGACGAAACGCUCGUCUUGGAU